CAGCCGCCGCGGGAAUACCAGCACCUCGAGUGGUCAGGAGGUUUAUUGGGCCUAAAGCAUCCGUAGCCGGUUGCAUAAGUUUUCGGUUAAAUCUAUGCGCUUAACGUAUAGGCCGCCGAAAAUACUGUGCAGCUAGGGAGUGGGAGAGGUACACGGUACUCGAUAGGAAGGGGUAAAAUCCUUUGAUCUAUUGAUGACCACCUGUGGCGAAGGCGGUGUACCAGAACACGUUCGACGGUGAGGGAUGAAAGCCGGGGAGCAAACCGGAUUAGAUACCCCAGUAGUCCCUGUCUCUUAUACA
This 301-nucleotide ribosomal RNA is filed under the name uncultured bacterium. Its description in RNAcentral is "partial 16S ribosomal RNA". It matches the Rfam family "Archaeal small subunit ribosomal RNA", at positions 459 to 761 of the family's 1478-position model. The record is from RNAcentral.